This 254-nucleotide ribosomal RNA is filed under the name uncultured bacterium. RNAcentral's name for it is "partial 16S ribosomal RNA". It matches the Rfam family "Bacterial small subunit ribosomal RNA", at positions 524 to 776 of the family's 1533-position model. The record is from RNAcentral.
UACGUAGGGGGCUAGCGUUGUCCGGAUUUACUGGGCGUAAAGAGCGCGCAGGCGGUCGUUCAAGUCGAGUGUGAAAGUCCCCGGCUCAACUGGGGAGGGUCACUUGAUACUGAUCGACUCGAAGGCAGGAGAGGGAAGCGGAAUUCCCGGUGUAGCGGUGAAAUGCGUAGAUAUCUGGAGGAACACCGGUGGCGAAGGCGGCAUCCUGGACCAACACUGACGCUGAGUGAACGAAAGCCAGGGGAGCAAACGGG